GCGCCCGUAGCUCAACCGGAUAGAGCACUAGCCUUCUAAGCUAGGGGUUGUGAGUUCGAGUCUCGCCGGGCGCGCCA
This 77-nucleotide transfer RNA is filed under the name Propionivibrio sp. RNAcentral describes it as "tRNA-Arg". It matches the Rfam family "tRNA". Rfam says of the family: Transfer RNA (tRNA) molecules are approximately 80 nucleotides in length. Lineage: Bacteria; Pseudomonadati; Pseudomonadota; Betaproteobacteria; Rhodocyclales; Rhodocyclaceae. The record is from RNAcentral.